Molecule: ribosomal RNA, 472 nt
Filed under: uncultured bacterium
Lineage: Bacteria
Description: partial 16S ribosomal RNA
Rfam family: Bacterial small subunit ribosomal RNA
Source: RNAcentral
GACGAACGCUGGCGGCGUGCUUAACACAUGCAAGUCGAACGCUGAAGCUUGGUGCUUGCACUGGGUGGAUGAGUGGCGAACGGGUGAGUAAUACGUGAGUAACCUGCCCUUGACUCUGGGAUAAGCCUGGGAAACUGGGUCUAAUACUGGAUAUGACAUGCCACUGCAUGGUGGUGUGUGGAAAGGGUUUUACUGGUUUUGGGUGGGCUCACGGCCUAUCAGCUUGUUGGUGGGGUAAUGGCCUACCAAGGCGACGACGGGUAGCCGGCCUGAGAGGGUGACCGGCCACACUGGGACUGAGACACGGCCCAGACUCCUACGGGAGGCAGCAGUGGGGAAUAUUGCACAAUGGGCGGAAGCCUGAUGCAGCGACGCCGCGUGAGGGAUGACGGCCUUCGGGUUGUAAACCUCUUUCAGCACGGAAGAAGCGAGAGUGACGGUACGUGCAGAAGAAGCGCCGGCUAACUACGUG